RNAcentral lists this ribosomal RNA (865 nucleotides) under Elasticomyces elasticus. RNAcentral describes it as "LSU rRNA". It matches the Rfam family "Eukaryotic large subunit ribosomal RNA", at positions 36 to 935 of the family's 3401-position model. The record is from RNAcentral. Lineage: Eukaryota; Fungi; Ascomycota; Dothideomycetes; Mycosphaerellales; Teratosphaeriaceae.
UAGCAUAUCAAUAAGCGGAGGAAAAGAAACCAACAGGGAUUGCCUCAGUAACGGCGAGUGAAGCGGCAACAGCUCAAAUUUGAAAUCUGGCGCAAGGCCGAGUUGUAGUUUGUAGAGGAUGCUUCUGGGCAGCGGCCGGUCUAAGUUCCUUGGAACAGGACGUCAUAGAGGGUGAGAAUCCCGUAUGCGACCGGUUGGCACCCCUCACGUAUCUCCUUCUACGAGUCGAGUUGUUUGGGAAUGCGGCUCUAAAUGGGUGGUAAAUUCCAUCUAAAGCUAAAUACCGGCCAGAGACCGAUAGCGCACAAGUAGAGUGAUCGAAAGAUGAAAAGCACUUUGGAAAGAGAGUUAAAAAGCACGUGAAAUUGUUGAAAGGGAAGCGCAUGCAACCAGACUUGUCGGCGGUGUUCCGCCGGUCUUCUGACCGGUCUACUCGCCGCCGACAGGCCAGCAUCGUGUGGGUGCGCCGGAUAAAGGCGUCGGGAAUGUGGCCCCUCGGGGUGUUAUAGCCCGGCGCAUAAUACGGUGCCGCCCGCGCGAGGUCCGCGCUUCGGCUAGGAUGCUGGCGUAAUGGUCGUAUGCGGCCCGUCUUGAAACACGGACCAAGGAGUCUAACAUCUGUGCGAGUGUUCGGGUGUCAAACCCCUACGCGGAAUGAAAGUGAACGGAGGUGGGAGCUUCGGCGCACCAUCGACCGAUCCUGAUGUCCUCGGAUGGAUUUGAGUAAGAGCAUAGCUGUUGGGACCCGAAAGAUGGUGAACUAUGCCUGAAUAGGGUGAAGCCAGAGGAAACUCUGGUGGAGGCUCGCAGCGGUUCUGACGUGCAAAUCGAUCGUCAAAUUUGGGUAUAGGGGCGAAAGACUUAU